GCUGGGCCUGGUGGUGCAUGCCUGUUGUUCCUGCUACAAGAACGACAGGAGGCUGAGGCAGGAGGAUCACUUGAGCCCAGGAGUUCUGGACUGUAAAGGUUAUGCCGAUUGGGUGUCCACACUAAGUUCAGCAUCAACUUGGUGAUCUCCUGGGAGCAGGGGAUGACCAGGUUGCCUAAGGAGGGGUGUGCUGGCCCAGGUCGGAAGUGGAGCAGGUCAAAAUUCCCAUGCUGAUCAGUAGUGGGAUUGUGCCUUUGAAUAACCGCUAUACUCUAGCCUGGGCAACAUAGUGAGAUCCCCAACUCU
RNAcentral lists this signal recognition particle RNA (306 nucleotides) under Carlito syrichta (Philippine tarsier). RNAcentral's name for it is "Metazoan signal recognition particle RNA (ENSTSYG00000027890.1)". It matches the Rfam family "Metazoan signal recognition particle RNA". Rfam says of the family: The signal recognition particle (SRP) is a universally conserved ribonucleoprotein. It is involved in the co-translational targeting of proteins to membranes. The eukaryotic SRP consists of a 300-nucleotide 7S RNA and six proteins: SRPs 72, 68, 54, 19, 14, and 9. Lineage: Eukaryota; Metazoa; Chordata; Mammalia; Primates; Tarsiidae. The record is from RNAcentral.